UCCCAGCUACUUGGGAGGCUGAGGCAGGAGAAUCACUCUGACCUGGAAGUCAGAGGUUGCAGUGAGCUGAGAUUGCGCCACUACGCUCCAGCCUGGGUGACAAAAGUGAAACUCUGUCUCAAAAAAAAAAAAAAAACGAAACAAAGAGAAAAAAAAAAACAAAAACCCGCCAGAAAUCAGAGUAAGCUCAAUGGUUGUUAUCACAAAAUGGGAUCAUCUCUUUAUCAUUGAUAACAGGGAUGGGCCAUCAUGCCUCCCAGGGUGGUAUUCCAUUUUCUCCAGUAAAUAAUACAAGGUUUCCCCCAUAAUUACCUGAUAGACUAGAAUAGCUCCUUGGGGUCCAUUUUAGUCUAUUGGGUAAAUGAUAUGUUUUCUAAUGGCAUUCUUACCCAACAAUGAAGCUCAUGAACUAAUGAUAUAUAUCGCGAGGCCUCUGUAGGGGACUGUGUGGAGGCAGUAGUUACUUUUAGAAAGUUAUACACUAGGCCCCGAGCAACAAGAUUCCUGGGAGACAUUUGUAUUUAGUAUUACCAGAGAAGAUAAACACUUUGCAACAGCAUUCUUAGGGCAUUUUCACAGGAUAUAUAAAGAGGCCCUGCGUUGGGCAGGGCACCAUUUCCAGCCAGUGACAUUCCACUGGAAAUGCAGCUGCUCUUUGUUGCUGUGAAAGACAUGUUCAAAUUAGUCUGGGACAUUCCCAUGACUAGUCCCACAUGGCUGCCUGGAUCAUCGGCUGUGGAGUUGUUGAUAGAGGAGUGAGUUAGAUGACAAAGGCAACCAUGAGAUCAUGGAAAAAUGCCCCGAGCAGCAGUCAUAAGACUUGGGUUGGAACCCAGCUCUGACACUUAAG
Molecule: long non-coding RNA, 850 nt
Filed under: Homo sapiens (human)
Lineage: Eukaryota; Metazoa; Chordata; Mammalia; Primates; Hominidae
Description: HSALNT0070157
Source: RNAcentral